AUGAUUGAGACAACAAUAAGUGUUCUAGUAGAUGAUUGAGGCAAAACUAUUUCAUUGAUUGGUUUUUUGUUCGAAUCCUGCUUAAUGUAGUGCAUUAGAAGUUAAAUGCAUAUAAAGGAGGACAACAUAGUAUGUGCACAUGCAACAUUAACCAUGAAGACAUAUAAUUCUGACUACGAACCGUCUUUGCUCGUACACAAAAAAUGCUGCAUGUUUAUCGUGUCAGAAAAUACGAC
This 236-nucleotide long non-coding RNA is filed under the name Mytilus galloprovincialis (Mediterranean mussel). Lineage: Eukaryota; Metazoa; Mollusca; Bivalvia; Mytilida; Mytilidae. The record is from RNAcentral.